GACGAACGCUGGCGGCGUGCUUAACACAUGCAAGUCGAACGAAGUGGCGAACGGGUGAGUAAUACGUGGGUAACCUGCCCUCCUUUUUGGGAUAAGCAUUGGAAACGUGGUCUAAUACCGAAUAAAGGGGGAUGGGCUCUGGGCCUAUCGUCUUGUUGGUGGGGUGAUGGCCUACCAAGGCGGUGACGGGUAGGCGGCCUGAGAGGGUGAACGGGCACAGUGGGACUGGACUACCUCCCAGAAGACUCAUGGUGGCAGCAGGUGGGGAUAUUGGACAAUGGGCGAAAGGCUGAUGCAGCGUCGCCGGGUGGGGGAUUAAGGCUUGCGGGGUGUAAACCUCGUUCGGUAACGAACGGGUAGGUGGAGAAGAAGCGCCGGCUAACUACGUGCCAGCAGCCGCGGUAAUUC
This 408-nucleotide ribosomal RNA is filed under the name uncultured bacterium. RNAcentral describes it as "partial 16S ribosomal RNA". It matches the Rfam family "Bacterial small subunit ribosomal RNA", at positions 28 to 526 of the family's 1533-position model. The record is from RNAcentral.